RNAcentral lists this long non-coding RNA (372 nucleotides) under Capsicum annuum. Its description in RNAcentral is "long non-coding RNA (CANN_LNC011560)". The record is from RNAcentral. Lineage: Eukaryota; Viridiplantae; Streptophyta; Magnoliopsida; Solanales; Solanaceae.
GCACAUCUCUGUUGGAAUAUGAUUGUUUAGAAGAUUGGCAAAGUAGUGGAAUAGAUGAAAAACGGGUUGAUUCACCUGCCCAUCUUCACAAGUUCAACCUCUUUUUGAGAUGUUAAGGAUAUCAGGAUAAGGAAAAGACUAAAUCAUGUAAGGAAGGGAUUUAAAAGCAAGGCGGCCAAAAGACCAUCUAAGGAAGGCAACAAAGAGUCUCCAAAUAGGAAUGAGAUUCUUCAAAGAAACACUCCAAAAAGGAAUUAGAUUCCUUAAAAGGAAAAGUAAGCUGACUUAAAGGAAACAAGUAUCUAUAUCUUAAUACCCAAGAGCUUCCACAAAGUCGUUUGCACACUCAUACAUAUAAAAGAUAAUUCAGAG